This 253-nucleotide ribosomal RNA is filed under the name uncultured bacterium. RNAcentral describes it as "partial 16S ribosomal RNA". It matches the Rfam family "Bacterial small subunit ribosomal RNA", at positions 524 to 776 of the family's 1533-position model. The record is from RNAcentral.
UACAGAGGUCUCAAGCGUUGUUCGGAUUCAUUGGGCGUAAAGGGUGCGUAGGCGGCGCGGUAAGUCGGAUGUGAAAUCUUGGAGCUUAACUCCGAAACUGCAUUCGAUACUGCCGUGCUUGAGGACUGGAGAGGAGACUGGAAUUUACGGUGUAGCGGUGAAAUGCGUAGAUAUCGUGAGGAAGACCAGUGGCGAAGGCGGGUCUCUGGACAGUUCCUGACGCUGAGGCGCGAAGGCCAGGGGAGCAAACGGG